Molecule: ribosomal RNA, 647 nt
Filed under: uncultured fungus
Lineage: Eukaryota; Fungi
Description: eukaryotic LSU rRNA
Rfam family: 5.8S ribosomal RNA (bases 188-341)
Source: RNAcentral
GGGGGUGCCGGGGUUGUCGCUGACCUUCAAGGUUGUGCACGCCCCGAGCAUUCUCUCAUUCACAUCCAUCACACCUUUGUGCAUCACCGCGUGGGCUCCCUUCCCUUAGAAGGGGGGUGCUUGCGUUUUCACACGUACACACAAUAGCAUAGAAUGUUCACACUUGCGCUCACACGCAAAUCAAUACAACUUUCAACAACGGAUCUCUUGGCUCUCGCAUCGAUGAAGAACGCAGCGAAAUGCGAUACGUAAUGUGAAUUGCAGAAUUCAGUGAAUCAUCGAAUCUUUGAACGCACCUUGCGCCCCUUGGCAUUCCGAGGGGCACACCCGUUUGAGUGUCGUGAAAUCUUCAACCUUCUCUACUUCUUUUUGAUUGGGGAAAGGCUUGGACUUUGGAGGCUUCUGCUGGCAUCUCUUGAAGUCAGCUCCUCUUAAAUGCAUUAGCGGGGGUUUGCUUUUGUCAAUCCUUGACGUGAUAAAGAUUUUCUACGUCUGGGGCCUUGGCUUUAAGACCUGCUUCUAAUGGUCUCAUCGAGACGCUCGGUCGAGUUUUGCCCCUCAGUUGGGUGGGACUUUGGCCCAUAUGAACCAUUUGACCUCNAAUCGGGUGAGACUACCCGCUGAACUUAAGCAUAUCAAUAAGCGGA